GACGAACGCUGGCGGCGGGCCUAAUACAUGCAAGUAGGACGCAGUUGCGAACGGGUGAGUAACGCGUAGGUAACUGCCUCUUAGAGGGGGAUAACUAUUGGAAACGAUAGCUAAUACAGCCUACUAGUCGAUUGCACUGCGUUGUUGUGGAUAGUCGGUAGGGUAAUGGCCAACCUAGGUGACGAUACAUAGACGACCUGGGAGGGUGAGCGGCCACACUGGGACUGAGACACGGCCCAGACUCCUACGGGAGGGAGCAGUAGGGAUUCUUCGGAAAUGGGGGGAACCCUGACCGAGCAACGCCGCGUGAGUGAAGAAGGUUUUCGGUUCGUAAAGCUCUGUUGUUAAGGAAGCGGUACUUAACCAGAAAGGGACGGCUAACUACGUGCCAGCAGCCGCGGUAAUUC
RNAcentral lists this ribosomal RNA (407 nucleotides) under uncultured bacterium. Its description in RNAcentral is "partial 16S ribosomal RNA". It matches the Rfam family "Bacterial small subunit ribosomal RNA", at positions 28 to 526 of the family's 1533-position model. The record is from RNAcentral.